RNAcentral lists this non-coding RNA (31 nucleotides) under Rattus norvegicus (Norway rat). Lineage: Eukaryota; Metazoa; Chordata; Mammalia; Rodentia; Muridae. The record is from RNAcentral.
UGGCUAUUGCCUUUGGAUGUGACUAUAGAGU